Molecule: long non-coding RNA, 3595 nt
Filed under: Homo sapiens (human)
Lineage: Eukaryota; Metazoa; Chordata; Mammalia; Primates; Hominidae
Description: long independently transcribed non-coding RNA 2750 (LINC02750)
Source: RNAcentral
ACAGGCGAGGGCGUUCGGCGACGUUACUGGGGCUGCACGGUGCUUGUAGCUGGGCAGUCUUAUCAUCAGAGUGGAGCCUGGUAACCACGACCUCCCCGCCAGGUCCUGUGUGUUGCUAGCUGGAGAAGGGUAGUUGAAAACUCAGACCAAGCACAGUGUUUAUAUCGGUCAAAACUGGAAAACUAUGUCCGGGCGCAGCCGAGGCUGGAGGAUCCCUUCAGGCCAAGAGCAACCUAGCAAUAUGGCGCGACCGGAUCUCUGUAGUCCUACCUCAACCCCCAGCUACUUGAACCCCAAGGUUGAAGGCUCCAGUGAGCUAUGAUCCCACCACAGCAUUGCAGCCUGCCAGACUGAGACAAAGUUUCACACUUGUUGCUGGAGUUGCAAUCUCGGCUCACCACAACCUCUGCCUCCCGGAUUCAAGAGAUUCUCCUGCCUCAGCCUCCCAAGUAGCUGGGACUACAGGUGUGCAUCACCCUGCCCAGCUGGAGUUUUGCUCUUGUCGCCCAUGCUGGAGUGUGAUCCUGGCUCACUGCAAUCUCUGCCUCCCAAGUUCAAGCGAUUCUCCUAGCUCAGCCUCCUGAGCAGCUGGGAUGACAGGCACUUGCCACAACGCCUGGCUAAUUUUUCUAUGUUUAGUAGAGAUGGGGUUUCACCAUGUUGGCCAGGCUGGUCUUGAACUCCUGACUUCGUGAUCUGUCUGCCUCAGCCUUCCAAAGUGUUGGGAUUACAGCCAUGAGCCACCAUGGCCAGCCUUUCUUUUCUUUUCAAAGCCACCCUUGGUGAUGAAAUGUAAAAUAUGCACCAGUGAAUAUUACUUUGCUGAAUAUUGCCUAGUGAAUAUUAAGUAUUUAUUCUCACCUUUCAGACAUGAACUUAUGAAUUCAACACAUGAAGACUUACAACUUGAUAAACCAGCUUCAGGAGAUUGAGAAAACUUGUAUUCCUGUGAUUUCGAUAGUGAAGGAAGUAUGGUAUACCAGAAUCACUAAAUUAUGAAAGAUGGUAGAUCAGCUUUUUGCAAAAAAAUUUGGUUCCUGAAAGGGAGAGAGGAAAUCUUCGAUUUUUCAUGGCUGUGAACCACUGCAAGUAUUGAAGAAAUAUUUACUACUUCCAGCCUCAUAAUCCUGCAGUCAUUUGGCACCUCUGAAGCCUUGGGGAGCACUGAAGCCAAGGCUGCACCGUACCAAAAAUUUGAAACAUGUGAAUGAGCUGAAUGUGGAAGGACUACCGGAAAACACUCCUUUCAGAAUCCCCUCAUUGCAUGAAAUCCCAAGGCUCGAAAACAUCUUUCAAGUGAGCAAUUGAAUUAAGUUUGUUAUUAAGAGUAACUCCAGUUAGCCUCCAUUGUCUCCAAGCCGGCUUUUGUCCUCAUCCACAACGCCUCCACACAAGCUCUGAACACCUGUCCAUGUAAAAAUAUCAAGAAAUGCUGAGGCCCAUGUCCCAGAACAACAGUCCUUUAGGUGGAUCACACAUUCUCCACUACACCAAGCUCUACUCAGUUGGAGACACGCUUUUUGCAGAAUAUAUGAAGGAACAUUUUGGAACCCAUUGAGGACUAUGUGGAAAAACCAAAUAUCCCUAGAAAAAAACAAGUUGGAAAGACUCGUUUUGUAGAAUCUGUGAAGGGAAAAUCAAACCCCUUUGAGGCCUAUGGGGAAAAACCAAAUAUCUCCAGAUAAAAACUAGAAAGAAGCUAUCUGUGAAACUGCUUUGUGAUGUGUGGAUUCAUCUCACAGAAUUAAACCUUUCUUUUGAUUCAACAGGUUGGAAACACUCAUUUUGUAGAAUCUGCCAAUGGACAUUUGGGAGUCCAUUGAGGCCUAUGGGGAAAAACAAAAUAUCCUCAGAUAAAAACUAGAAAGAAGUUAUCUGGGAAACUGAUUUGUGAUGUGUGGAAUCAUCUCACAGUGUUAAACUUUUCUUUUGAUUCAGCACAUUGGAACCACUCUUUUUGUAGAAUCUGCAAAGGGACAUUUGGGAGCCCUUUGAGUCCUAUGGGGUAAAACAGAAUAUCCUCGGAUAAAAACUAGAAAGGAGCCAUCUGUGAAACUGCCUGGUGAUGUGUGGAUUCAUCUGACAGAGUUAAAACUUUCUUUUGAUUCAGCAGGUUGGAAACACUCUUUUUGUAGAAUCUGCAAAGAGACAUUUCAGAGCUUGUCAAGGCCUGUCGGGAAAAAAUGAAUAUCCUCAGAUAAAAGUAGAAAGAAACUAUAUGUGAAGCUCCUUUGUGGCGUGUGCAUUCCUCUCACAGAGUUAAUCCUUCCUUUUGUUUCAGCAGGUUGGAAACACUCGUUUUGUAGAAUCUGUGAGGAGACAUUUGGGAGGCCAUUUUGACCCAUGGGGAAAAACCAAAUAUCCCCAGGUAAAAACUAGAAGGGAGAAAUCUGUGAAACUACUUGGUGAUGUGUGGAUACAUCUCACAGAGUUAAAUCUUUCUUUUGAUUUAGCAGGUUGGAACACUCUUUUUGUAGAAUCUGUGAAGGUACAUUUGGGAGUUCAUUGUGUCCAAUGGAAAAAAACUGAAUAUUCCCAGAUAAAAGCUAUAAUGAAGCUAUUAGUGAAACUGCUUUUUGGUGUGUGGAUUAAUCUUAGAGAGUUAAACUUUUCUUUGAAUUCGGCAGAUUGGAAACAGUUUUUUUGUAGAAUUUGCAAAAUGGCAUUUGGGAGCCCAUUGAGACCUAUGGGAAAAACCCAAAUGUCCCCAGAUAAAAACUAGAAGGAAGCUAUCUGUAAAACUGCUGGGUGACUUGUGGAUUCACCUCACAGAAUUACAUCCUUCUUUUUACUCAGCAGCGUGGAAACAUUCUUUUUUUAGAAUCUGUGAAGGGUCAUUUGGGAGUCCAUUGAAACCUACAGGGAAAAACCGAAUAGGCCCAGAUAAAAAGUAGAAAGAAGCUAUCUGUGAAACUGCUUGGUGAUAUGUGGAUUCAGCCCACAGAGUUAAACCUUUAUUUUGAUUCAACAGGUUGGAAACACUCUUUUUGUAGAUUCUGUAAAGGGAUAUUUGGGAUUCCAUUGAAGCCUAUGGGGAAAAAACGAUUAUCCCGUAUAAAAACUAGAAAGAAGCUAUGUGUGAUACUGCUUUGUGAUGUGUGGAUCCAUCUCAAAGUGUUAAACUUUACUUUUUAUUAAGCAAGUUGGAAACACUCUUUUUGUAAAAUCUGAGAAGGAAAUUUUCAAAACCCAUCAAAACCUAUGAGGAAAAACUGAAUAUUUUCAGAUAAAAACAAGAAAGAAGUUAUCUGUGAAACUGCUUAGCAAUGAGUGGAUUCAUCACACAGAGUUAAAACUUUCUAUUGAUUAGUAGAUUGGGAACACUCUUUUUGUAGAUUGUGUGAAGGGAUUUUUAGGAGCCUGACGAGGCUUAUGGGGAAAAACUGAAUGCCCCAGAUAAAAACUAGAAAAAAAGCUAUCUGUGAAAGUGCUUUGUGAUUUGUCAUUUCAUCUCACAGAGUUAUACCUUUAUUUUGAUUCAGAAGAUUGUAGGCACUUUUUUUUGUAGAAUCUCUGAAAGGGAUUUGGGGGACAAUUUAGGCCUAUGGAGAAAAACCACAUAUCCCAAAAUAAAAAUUGGAAAGAAGUUAUCUGU